GAAAUGCGAUAAGUAAUGUGAAUUGCAGAAUUCAGUGAAUCAUCGAAUCUUUGAACGCAGCUUGCGCUCCUUGGUAUUCCUUGGAGCAUGCCUGUUUGAGUAUCAUGAAAUCUUCAAAGUAAAUCUUUUGUUAACUCAAUUGGUUUCUACUUUGGUAGUGGAGGUCUUUGCAGCUUCACACCUGCUCCUCUUUGUUCAUUAGCUGGAUCUCAGUGUUAUGCUUGGUUCCACUCGGCGUGAUAAGUUAUCUAUCGCUGAGGACACUGUAAAAGGUGGCCAAGGUAAAUGCAGAUGAACCGCUUCUAAUAGUCCAUUGACUUGGACAAUACUUUUAUGAUCUGAUCUCAAAUCAGGUAGGACUACCCGCUGAACUUAAGC
This 378-nucleotide unclassified non-coding RNA is filed under the name plant metagenome. Its description in RNAcentral is "partial contains 5.8S ribosomal RNA, internal transcribed spacer 2, and large subunit ribosomal RNA". The stretch from base 1 to 105 matches the Rfam family "5.8S ribosomal RNA", at positions 50 to 154 of the family's 154-position model. The record is from RNAcentral.